GGGCCAGUGGUGCAAUGGUUAACGUGUCUUAUUACGCAUCAGAAGAUUCUAGGUUUGACUCCUGGCGGGCUCG
This 73-nucleotide transfer RNA is filed under the name Hippoglossus stenolepis (Pacific halibut). RNAcentral's name for it is "tRNA-Arg". Lineage: Eukaryota; Metazoa; Chordata; Actinopteri; Pleuronectiformes; Pleuronectidae. The record is from RNAcentral.